This 1242-nucleotide ribosomal RNA is filed under the name metagenome. Its description in RNAcentral is "bacterial LSU rRNA". It matches the Rfam family "Bacterial large subunit ribosomal RNA", at positions 1564 to 2815 of the family's 2925-position model. The record is from RNAcentral.
UGAAUACGAGACGCUAAGGCGUCGAAGUAGUGUAUAUCAGACUUCCAAGAAAAGCUUGCACUGUCAUAGAUAAAAAAUGCCUGUACCAUAACCGACACAGGUGGGUAGGUAGAGUAUACUAAGGGGCGCGAGAUAACUCUCUCUAAGGAACUCGGCAAAAUAACUCCGUAACUUCGGGAGAAGGAGUGCCUUAUUUAUAAGGUUGCAAUAACAAGAGCCAAGCAACUGUUUAUCAAAAACACAGGUCUCCGCUAAGUCGUAAGACGAUGUAUGGGGGCUGACGCCUGCCCAGAGCCAGAAGGUUAAAGAAUUUGGUUAGCAAUUGCGAAGCUGAUAACUGAAGCCCUGGUGAACGGCGGCCGUAACGAUAACGGUCCUAAGGUAGCGAAAUUCCUUGUCGGGUAAGUUCCGACCCGCACGAAAGGCGUAAUGAUUUGGAUACUGUCUCGGAGAGGGGCUCGGUGAAAUAGACUUGUCUGUGAAGAUGCGGACUACCUGCACCAGGACAGAAAGACCCUAUGAAGCUUUACUGUAACUUGAAAUUGAAAUUGGACUUUAUUCGCGCAGCAUAGGUGGGAGGCGUUGAUUAUAAUCUUGCGGGAUUAUUGGAGCCAUCAGUGAGAUACCACUCUUGUAAUGUUAGAUUUCUAACUUUGAAUCAUUAUCUGGUCAAAGAACAGUUUCAGGCGGGCAGUUUGACUGGGGCGGUCGCCUCCUAAAUGGUAACGGAGGCGUACAAAGGUUUCCUCUGAACGGUUAGAAAUCGUAUCUAGAGUGUAAAGGCAUAAGGAAGCUUGACUGUGAGACCUACAAGUCGAGCAGGGACGAAAGUCGGUCUUAGUGAUCUGACGGUACUGAGUGGAAAGGCCGUCACUCAACGGAUAAAAGUUACUCUAAGGAUAACAGGCUGAUCUCCCCCAAGAGUUCACAUCGACGGGGAGGUUUGGCACCUCGAUGUCGGCUCAUCGCAUCCUGGGGCGGUAGUACGUCCCAAGGGUUGGGCUGUUCGCCCAUGAAAGCGGUACGCGAGCUGGGUUCAGAACGUCGUGAGACAGUUCGGUCCAUAUCCGGUGUAGGCGUUAGAAUAUUGAGAGGAGCCUUCUUUAGUACGAGAGGACCGAGAAGGACAUACCUCUGGUGUACCAGUUAUCGUGCCAACGGUAAACGCUGGGUAGCUAUGUAUGGAGUGGAUAACCGCUGAAAGCAUCUAAGUGGGAAGCCCACCUCAAGAUAAGUAUUCCC